ACGAACGCUGGCGGCAUGCCUAACACAUGCAAGUCGAACGAGACCUUCGGGUCUAGUGGCGCACGGGUGCGUAACGCGUGGGAACCUGCCCUUAGGUUCGGAAUAACUCCCCGAAAGGGGUGCUAAUACCGGAUAAUGUCUUCGGACCAAAGAUUUAUCGCCUUUGGAUGGGCCCGCGUUGGAUUAGCUAGUUGGUAGGGUAAAAGCCUACCAAGGCGACGAUCCAUAGCUGGUCUGAGAGGAUGAUCAGCCACACUGGGACUGAGACACGGCCCAGACUCCUACGGGAGGCAGCAGUGGGGAAUAUUGGACAAUGGACGAAAGCCUGAUCCAGCAAUGCCGCGUGAGUGAUGAAGGCCUUAGGGUUGUAAAGCUCUUUUACCCAGGAUGAUAAUGACAGUACCGGGAGAAUAAGCUCCGGCUAACUCCGUG
RNAcentral lists this ribosomal RNA (432 nucleotides) under uncultured bacterium. RNAcentral describes it as "partial 16S ribosomal RNA". It matches the Rfam family "Bacterial small subunit ribosomal RNA", at positions 29 to 507 of the family's 1533-position model. The record is from RNAcentral.